This 467-nucleotide ribosomal RNA is filed under the name uncultured bacterium. Its description in RNAcentral is "partial 16S ribosomal RNA". It matches the Rfam family "Bacterial small subunit ribosomal RNA", at positions 28 to 506 of the family's 1533-position model. The record is from RNAcentral.
GACGAACGCUGGCGGCGUGCUUAACACAUGCAAGUCGAACGGAAAGGCCCUGCUUUUGUGGGGUGCUCGAGUGGCGAACGGGUGAGUAACACGUGAGUAACCUGCCCUUGACUUUGGGAUAACUUCAGGAAACUGGGGCUAAUACCGGAUAGGUGCUCCUGCUGCAUGGUGGGGGUUGGAAAGUUUCGGCGGUUGGGGAUGGACUCGCGGCUUAUCAGCUUGUUGGUGGGGUAGUGGCUUACCAAGGCUUUGACGGGUAGCCGGCCUGAGAGGGUGACCGGCCACAUUGGGACUGAGAUACGGCCCAGACUCCUACGGGAGGCAGCAGUGGGGAAUAUUGCACAAUGGGCGGAAGCCUGAUGCAGCAACGCCGCGUGCGGGAUGACGGCCUUCGGGUUGUAAACCGCUUUCGCCUGUGACGAAGCGUGAGUGACGGUAAUGGGUAAAGAAGCACCGGCUAACUACGU